AGCUCCAGAAGCGUAUGCUAAAGUUGUUGCAGUUAAAAAGCUCGUAGUUGCAUUUCUGGUUUGGUUUUGACCGUGGGCUUGGAUGAAUUUCCUUGCUUUCUACGUGUCGAGCUAGCCAUCCUGCCGUGCGUUGGUCAAACUUCGCGCGGCUCGUUUACUGUAAACAAAAUAGAGUGUUCAAAGCAGGUCGUUAGGACCGGGAUAUUUCUUAUGGGAUAAUAAGAUAGGACUGGCGUGCUAUUUUGUUGGUUUGUACAUGUCAGUAAUGAUGAAUAGGGACAGUUGGGGGUAUUCGUAUUUAGCAGCUAGAGGUGAAAUUCUUGGAUUUGCGAAAGACGAACUACUGCGAAGGCAUUUACCAAGGAUGUUUUCAUUA
RNAcentral lists this ribosomal RNA (376 nucleotides) under Thraustochytrium sp. RNAcentral's name for it is "partial small subunit ribosomal RNA". It matches the Rfam family "Eukaryotic small subunit ribosomal RNA", at positions 587 to 975 of the family's 1831-position model. The record is from RNAcentral. Lineage: Eukaryota; Bigyra; Thraustochytrida; Thraustochytriidae.